RNAcentral lists this long non-coding RNA (739 nucleotides) under Manihot esculenta (cassava). RNAcentral describes it as "long non-coding RNA (MESC_LNC008258)". Lineage: Eukaryota; Viridiplantae; Streptophyta; Magnoliopsida; Malpighiales; Euphorbiaceae. The record is from RNAcentral.
GGUCAAGCACAAUUUCUAAUCCUCAAUAUCAUUUUACAUAACAUAACUAUUCAGUUAUACAUCAUCUUACAAUUUAUCAUGUCCAUUUUCUAACUAUUACAAAAACAAAACUUUACUCUUCUUGACUUCUCUGUCUAGCCCGUACCUGCAGUCCUGGGGGAUUAGGGAGAAGGGGUGAGCUACUAGAGCCCAGUGAGCAGAAUAAUAGAAAACAAUAUUUAAAAUCUCAUGCCAUCAUGUAAUGCAACACAUCACAGCAAAUCACAUCUCGGAUGGUAUUGUCACCGAUAGUCCUCUACAUUUCCAAAGUGCCGGGACGUAGAAUGGGUACAACCGGUCUUUCUCUUAACAUAAUAUAUCAUACAUACCAAUGUGCCAGGGACGUAGAAUGGGUACAACCUGGACUUUCUCUUACAUAGUGCCAGGGACGUAGAAUGGGUACAACCUGGACUUCCAUACCAUAUCAUGUCGUAACAUCAUCAUAUCAUAUGAGGACUAAAGGGUCAUCCAAUAACCAAUCCAUAUCAACAUCAUAAAUGCAAUGCAACAUAUUCGUGAUUUCUAAUGCAAACAACCUAAUUCAUCACAUGGCAUUCAUGAUGCAUGAACAUGCUCAACUGUAUAAUUCAUUUGCUUUAAAAACAUAAAGGUUUAUUCUACUCACCUCUGGCUGAAGCUCUACUGACUCAGAAGCAGCUGAACUCACUGCUGGGGUCCUCGGUUCCUCGGGUCCGAACCU